RNAcentral lists this ribosomal RNA (892 nucleotides) under uncultured bacterium. Its description in RNAcentral is "bacterial SSU rRNA". It matches the Rfam family "Bacterial small subunit ribosomal RNA", at positions 29 to 919 of the family's 1533-position model. The record is from RNAcentral.
AUGAACGCUGGCGGCGUGCCUAAUACAUGCAAGUCGAACGAAUCUCUUUUAGAGAUGAGUGGCGAACGGGUGAGUAAUACAUAGGUAACCUGCCCCUGUGCGGGGGAUAACAGGAGGAAACUCCUGCUAAUACCGCAUAGCCAUGAGCACCGCAUGGAGCUCAUGCCAAAUAUCCUUUCGGGGAUAGCGCAGGGAUGGACCUAUGGCGCAUUAGCUGGUUGGCGGGGCAACGGCCCACCAAGGCAACGAUGCGUAGCCGGCCUGAGAGGGCGGACGGCCACAUUGGGACUGAGACACGGCCCAGACUCCUACGGGAGGCAGCAGUAGGGAAUUUUCGGCAAUGGGGGAAACCCUGACCGAGCAACGCCGCGUGAGCGAAGAAGGCCUUCGGGUCGUAAAGCUCUGUUGUAAAGGAAGAACGGCGCAUACAGGAAAUGGUAUGCGAGUGACGGUACUUUACCAGAAAGCCACGGCUAACUACGUGCCAGCAGCCGCGGUAAUACGUAGGUGGCGAGCGUUAUCCGGAAUCAUUGGGCGUAAAGAGGGAGCAGGCGGCCGCAAGGGUCUGUGGUGAAAGACCGAAGCUAAACUUCGGUAAGCCAUGGAAACCGGGCGGCUAGAGUGCGGAAGAGGAUCGUGGAAUUCCAUGUGUAGCGGUGAAAUGCGUAGAUAUAUGGAGGAACACCAGUGGCGAAGGCGACGGUCUGGGCCGCAACUGACGCUCAUUCCCGAAAGCGUGGGGAGCAAAUAGGAUUAGAUACCCUAGUAGUCCACGCCGUAAACGAUGGUCACUAAGUGUCGGGGGUCAAACCCCGGUGCUGCAGUCAACGCAAUAAGUGACCCGCCUGAGUAGUACGUUCGCAAGAAUGAAACUCAAAGGAAUUGACGGAAG